UUCGUUGAAAGCUGAACACUU
This 21-nucleotide non-coding RNA is filed under the name Caenorhabditis elegans. The record is from RNAcentral. Lineage: Eukaryota; Metazoa; Nematoda; Chromadorea; Rhabditida; Rhabditidae.